CCAGACUCCUACGGGAGGCAGCAGUGGGGAAUAUUGCACAAUGGGGGGAACCCUGAUGCAGCGACGCCGCGUGGGUGAAGGAGCACCUCGGUGCGUAAAGCCCUAUCGGCAGGGAAGAAAAGCGAACAGGUUCGCCUGGACGGUACCUGACUAAGAAGCCCCGGCUAACUACGUGCCAGCAGCCGCGGUAAUACGUAGGGGGCAAGCGUUAUCCGGAUUCACUGGGUGUAAAGGGGGCGCAGGCGGCACGGCAAGUCUGGUGUGAAAGCCCGGGGCCCAACCCCGGGACUGCAUUGGAAACUGCCGGGCUGGAGUGCCGGAGGGGCAGGCGGAAUUCCUGGUGUAGCGGUGAAAUGCGCAGAUAUCAGGAGGAACACCGGUGGCGAAGGCGGCCUGCUGGACUGCAACUGACGUUGAGGCCCGAAAGCGUGGGGAGCAAACAGGAUUAGAUACCCUGGUACU
This 462-nucleotide ribosomal RNA is filed under the name uncultured bacterium. RNAcentral describes it as "bacterial SSU rRNA". It matches the Rfam family "Bacterial small subunit ribosomal RNA", at positions 331 to 794 of the family's 1533-position model. The record is from RNAcentral.